RNAcentral lists this ribosomal RNA (253 nucleotides) under uncultured bacterium. RNAcentral's name for it is "partial 16S ribosomal RNA". It matches the Rfam family "Bacterial small subunit ribosomal RNA", at positions 524 to 776 of the family's 1533-position model. The record is from RNAcentral.
UACGUAGGGUGCAAGCGUUAAUCGGAAUUACUGGGCGUAAAGCGUGCGUAGGUGGUUCGUUAAGUCUGUCGUGAAAGCCCCGGGCUCAACCUGGGAAUGGCGAUGGAUACUGGCGGGCUAGAGUGCGGUAGAGGAGAGUGGAAUUCCCGGUGUAGCAGUGAAAUGCGUAGAGAUCGGGAGGAACAUCAGUUGCGAAGGCGGCUCUCUGGACCAGCACUGACACUGAGGCACGAAAGCGUGGGGAGCAAACAGG